GAUGAACGCUGGCGGCGUGCCUAAUACAUGCAAGUCGAGCGAACGGACGAGAAGCUUGCUUUUCUGAUGUUAGCGGCGGACGGGUGAGUAACACGUGGAUAACCUACCUAUAAGACUGGGAUAACUUCGGGAAACCGGAGCUAAUACCGGAUAAUAUUUUGAACUGCAUGGUUCAAAAGUGAAAGACGGGCUUGCUGUCACUUAUAGAUGGAUCCGCGCUGCAUUAGCUAGUUGGUAAGGUAACGGCUUACCAAGGCAACGAUGCAUAGCCGACCUGAGAGGGUGAUCGGCCACACUGGAACUGAGACACGGUCCAGACUCCUACGGGAGGCAGCAGUAGGGAAUCUUCCGCAAUGGGCGAAAGCCUGACGGAGCAACGCCGCGUGAGUGAUGAAGGUCUUCGGAUCGUAAAACUCUGUUAUUAGGGAAGAACAUAUGUGUAAGUAACUGUGCACAUCUUGACGGUACCUAAUCAGAAAGCCACGGCUAACUACGUG
This 497-nucleotide ribosomal RNA is filed under the name uncultured bacterium. RNAcentral's name for it is "partial 16S ribosomal RNA". It matches the Rfam family "Bacterial small subunit ribosomal RNA", at positions 28 to 507 of the family's 1533-position model. The record is from RNAcentral.